CAAUAGCGUAUAUUAAAGUUGUUGCGGUUAAAAAGCUCGUAGUUGGAGUUCAGGGUGAGCUCAGCUGGUCGGCCUAAUGGGUCAGAACUGGUUGACUCUCCCUUGGUUGUGGAUCCCUCCGGAGUUAAUUCUUCGGGUGUGGAGUCCACAUCGUUUACCUUGAAAAAAUUAGAGUGUUCAAAGCAGGCGUUUGCUUGAAUAUAUUAGCAUGGAAUAAUGGAAUAGGACGCUGGUUCUAUUUUGUUGGUUUUGAGAACCAGAGUAAUGAUUAAUAGGGACAGUUGGGGGCAUUCAUAUUUCAUUGUCAGAGGUGAAAUUCUUGGAUUUAUGAAAGAUGAACUUCUGCGAAAGCAUUUGCCAAGGAUGUUUUCAUUAAUCAAGAACGAAAGUUAGGGGAUCGAAGAUGAUUAGAUACCAU
RNAcentral lists this ribosomal RNA (418 nucleotides) under uncultured eukaryote. RNAcentral's name for it is "bacterial SSU rRNA". It matches the Rfam family "Eukaryotic small subunit ribosomal RNA", at positions 592 to 1018 of the family's 1831-position model. The record is from RNAcentral.